GACGAACGCUGGCGGCGUGCUUCAUACAUGCAAGUCGAACGAGGUCCAUCCGGUAGCAAUACUGGAGAAGACCGAGAGGCGAACGGGUGAGUAACACGUGAGGAACCUGCCCCGAAGACCGGGAUAACAGUGGGAAACCGCUGCUAAUACCGGAUGCCCCCACCGGGUCGCAUGGCCUGGUGAGGAAAUGGAUUCCGCUUCGGGAGGGCCUCGCGGCCUAUCAGCUAGUUGGUGGGGCGAUGGCCUACCAAGGCGACGACGGGUAGCCGGCCUGAGA
This 277-nucleotide ribosomal RNA is filed under the name uncultured bacterium. RNAcentral's name for it is "partial 16S ribosomal RNA". It matches the Rfam family "Bacterial small subunit ribosomal RNA", at positions 28 to 297 of the family's 1533-position model. The record is from RNAcentral.